AUUGAACGCUGGCGGCAUGCCUUACACAUGCAAGUCGAACGGUAACGCGGGGCAACCUGGCGACGAGUGGCGAACGGGUGAGUAAUACAUCGGAACAUGCCCAUUAGUGGGGGAUAACGUACCGAAAGGUACGCUAAUACCGCAUACGUCCUACGGGAGAAAGGGGGGAUCGCAAGACCUCUCGCUAUUGGAAUGGCCGAUAUCAGAUUAGCUAGUUGGUGAGGUAAAGGCUCACCAAGGCGACGAUCUGUAGCUGGUCUGAGAGGACGACCAGCCACACUGGGACUGAGACACGGCCCAGACUCCUACGGGAGGCAGCAGUGGGGAAUUUUGGACAAUGGGGGCAACCCUGAUCCAGCCAUGCCGCGUGUGCGAAGAAGGCCUUCGGGUUGUAAAGCACUUUUGUCAGGAACGAAAAGUUUUGCUCUAAUACGGCAAAGCGAUGACGGUACCUGAAGAAUAAGCACCGGCUAACUACGUGCCAGCAGCCGCAGUAA
RNAcentral lists this ribosomal RNA (497 nucleotides) under uncultured bacterium. Its description in RNAcentral is "partial 16S ribosomal RNA". It matches the Rfam family "Bacterial small subunit ribosomal RNA", at positions 30 to 523 of the family's 1533-position model. The record is from RNAcentral.